RNAcentral lists this ribosomal RNA (253 nucleotides) under uncultured bacterium. RNAcentral describes it as "partial 16S ribosomal RNA". It matches the Rfam family "Bacterial small subunit ribosomal RNA", at positions 524 to 776 of the family's 1533-position model. The record is from RNAcentral.
UACAGAGGUCCCAAGCGUUGUUCGGAUUCACUGGGCGUAAAGGGUGCGUAGGCGGUCGGGUAAGUCUGAUGUGAAAUCUCCAAGCUUAACUUGGAAAUGGCAUCGGAUACUAUUCGGCUCGAGGAAUGGAGGGGAGACUGGAAUACUUGGUGUAGCAGUGAAAUGCGUAGAUAUCAAGUGGAACACCAGUGGCGAAGGCGAGUCUCUGGACAUUUCCUGACGCUGAGGCACGAAAGCCAGGGGAGCAAACGGG